GGACCAAAAGCAGUCACCAAGAAGAAAAACAUGGAUAACCAACUUGAAGUCCAGGCAUUUUCUUGAAGAAAGGAUUGGAGACUCCAGAUGGUUUGCACUGCAAGUGGCUGUGGAUUUCAGGUGAGCACAGAAAUGGACUAAGAUAUAUUCUGUUGCCGAACUAUUGGCUGACAUUCAAUGGUAGGGCUCAACUUGGUUGAGUACUGAAGGACCAUUGAGUACUGAAGCUCAAAUGGAACCACAUCACAGAGCAAAUUAGCAUCAUCAGAAGAGAUUGUACAACGAAUAAAGGCACAAAGGAAA
Non-coding RNA from Chiloscyllium plagiosum (whitespotted bambooshark), 303 nucleotides. Lineage: Eukaryota; Metazoa; Chordata; Chondrichthyes; Orectolobiformes; Hemiscylliidae. The record is from RefSeq and is a predicted model, not a curated record.